GACGAACGCUGGCGGCGUGCUUAACACAUGCAAGUCGAACGGAAAGGCCCUGCUUUUGUGGGGUGCUCGAGUGGCGAACGGGUGAGUAACACGUGAGUAACCUGCCCUUGACUUUGGGAUAACUUCAGGAAACUGGGGCUAAUACCGGAUAGGAGCUCCUGCUGCAUGGUGGGGGUUGGAAAGUUUCGGCGGUUGGGGAUGGACUCGCGGCUUAUCAGCUUGUUGGUGGGGUAGUGGCUUACCAAGGCUUUGACGGGUAGCCGGCCUGAGAGGGUGACCGGCCACAUUGGGACUGAGAUACUGCCCAGACUCCUACGGGAGGCAGCAGUGGGGAAUAUUGCACAAUGGGCGGAAGCCUGAUGCAGCAACGCCGCGUGCGGGAUGACGGCCUUCGGGUUGUAAACCGCUUUCACCUGUGACGAAGCGUGAGUGACGGUAAUGGGUAAAGAAGCACCGGCUAACUACGUG
Molecule: ribosomal RNA, 468 nt
Filed under: uncultured bacterium
Lineage: Bacteria
Description: partial 16S ribosomal RNA
Rfam family: Bacterial small subunit ribosomal RNA
Source: RNAcentral